Molecule: long non-coding RNA, 275 nt
Organism: Sinocyclocheilus rhinocerous
Lineage: Eukaryota; Metazoa; Chordata; Actinopteri; Cypriniformes; Cyprinidae
Exons: 3
Source: RefSeq, a predicted model, not a curated record
CGCACAGUUGCCUGAUUUUCACCAGGUAGAUAUACCUGAUCUGUGGAUUGGCAUUUCAGAUAAGGACCAAGAUGGCACAUUUAGGUGGGUGGACAAAACUGCAGUGGAGUUUUCAAACUGGAGCCCAAAUUUCCCUCAGAACUCAGCAAACCUGUGGGACUGUGGUCAGAUUUACACCGGAAACUAUGCUGGAAAAUGGGAAACCACGAACUGCUUUAAAAACCUGGGAUAUAUUUGCAAGAUGCCUGGAGGACAGAAUGUGAAGCCCACAGCGG